Molecule: ribosomal RNA, 253 nt
Filed under: uncultured bacterium
Lineage: Bacteria
Description: partial 16S ribosomal RNA
Rfam family: Bacterial small subunit ribosomal RNA
Source: RNAcentral
UACAGAGGGUGCGAGCGUUGUUUGGAAUUAUUGGGCGUAAAGGGCGCGUAGGCGGCGCGGUAUGUCACCUGUGAAAUCUCCUGGCUCAACUGGGAGCUUGCAGGCGAAACUGCCGUGCUGGAGUGUGGGAGAGGUGCGUGGAAUUCCUGGUGUAGCGGUGAAAUGCGUAGAUAUCAGGAGGAACACCUGUGGCGAAAGCGGCGCACUGGACCACAACUGACGCUGAGGCGCGAAAGCUAGGGGAGCAAACAGG